Small nucleolar RNA from Hyla sarda, 130 nucleotides. RefSeq annotates it as small nucleolar RNA SNORA69. Lineage: Eukaryota; Metazoa; Chordata; Amphibia; Anura; Hylidae. The record is from RefSeq and is a predicted model, not a curated record. The transcript has a single exon.
AAUGCAGGUUGCAAUUACAGUGCUUCAUUCCAGUGGGAGUGCUGUCAUUAUCCUGCAGAAAGUAAAGAUGUCGGCUUGUUUGGUUUUACCUUCAUUCUUGGAGAAUCCUUUUAUGCUGACAGCUACAGAA